RNAcentral lists this ribosomal RNA (313 nucleotides) under uncultured bacterium. Its description in RNAcentral is "bacterial SSU rRNA". It matches the Rfam family "Bacterial small subunit ribosomal RNA", at positions 30 to 337 of the family's 1533-position model. The record is from RNAcentral.
AUUGAACGCUGGCGGCAGGCCUAACACAUGCAAGUCGAACGGCAGCACAGAAGAGCUUGCUCUUUGGGUGGCGAGUGGCGGACGGGUGAGUAACACGUAGGAAUCUACCCAGUAGUGGGGGAUAACCUGGGGAAACCCAGGCUAAUACCGCAUACGCCCUGAGGGGGAAAGCGGGGGAUCUUCGGACCCCGCGCUAUUGGAUGAGCCUGCGUCGGAUUAGCUAGUUGGUGGGGUAAGGGCUCACCAAGGCGACGAUCCGUAGCUGGUCUGAGAGGAUGACCAGUCACACCGGAACUGAGACACGGUCCGGACU